This 440-nucleotide ribosomal RNA is filed under the name uncultured bacterium. RNAcentral describes it as "partial 16S ribosomal RNA". It matches the Rfam family "Bacterial small subunit ribosomal RNA", at positions 338 to 795 of the family's 1533-position model. The record is from RNAcentral.
CCUACGGGAGGCAGCAGUGGGGAAUAUUGCACAAUGGGGGGAACCCUGAUCCAGCGACGCCGCGUGAGUGAAGACGUACUUCGGUAUGUAAAGCUCUAUCAGCCGGGAAGAAAAUGACGGUUCCUGACUAAGAAGCCCCGGCUAACUACGUGCCAGCAGCCGCGGUAAUACGUAGGGGGCGAGCGUUAUCCGGAUUUACUGGGUGGAAAGGGGGCGUUGGCGGUUAUGCAAGUCUGAAGUGAAAGCCCAUGGCUCAACCAUGGGAGUGCUUGGGAAACGGUAGAACUGGAGUGCAGGAGAGGUAAGCGGAAUUCGUGGUGUAGCGGUGAAAUGCGUAGAUAUUAGGAGGAACACCAGUGGCGAAGGCGGAUAACUGGACUGUAACUGACGUUGAGGCUCGAAGGCGUGGGGAGCAAACAGGAUUAGAUACCCUUGUAGUC